UGCGGGAAUUGCCAAGCCUGGUCUACGGCGCUGGACUUAGAAUCCAGUCUCAGAGGAGUUCGAGGGUUCAAAUCCCUCUUCCCGCAU
RNAcentral lists this transfer RNA (87 nucleotides) under subsurface metagenome. Its description in RNAcentral is "tRNA-Leu". It matches the Rfam family "tRNA". Rfam says of the family: Transfer RNA (tRNA) molecules are approximately 80 nucleotides in length. Their secondary structure includes four short double-helical elements and three loops (D, anti-codon, and T loops). The record is from RNAcentral.